AUUGAACGCUGGCGGCAUGCCUUACACAUGCAAGUCGAACGGCAGCACGGGAGCAAUCCUGGUGGCGAGGGCGAACGGGUGAGUAAUAUAUCGGAACGUGCCCAGUCGUGGGGGAUAACGCAGCGAAAGUUGUGCUAAUACCGCAUACGAUCUAUGGAUGAAAGCGGGGGAUCGCAAGACCUCGCGCGAUUGGAGCGGCCGAUAUCAGAUUAGGUUGUUGGUGAGGUAAAAGCUCACCAAGCCUGCGAUCUGUAGCUGGUCUGAGAGGACGACCAGCCACACUGGAACUGAGACACGGUCCAGACUCCUACGGGAGGCAGCAGUGGGGAAUUUUGGACAAUGGACGCAAGUCUGAUCCAGCAAUGCCGCGUGAGUGAAGAAGGCCCUCGGGUUGUAAAGCUCUUUUGUCCGGAAAGAAAAGCGCCGGGUUAAUACCCUGGUGUCCUGACGGUACCGGAAGAAUAAGCACCGGCUAACUUCGUG
Molecule: ribosomal RNA, 483 nt
Filed under: uncultured bacterium
Lineage: Bacteria
Description: bacterial SSU rRNA
Rfam family: Bacterial small subunit ribosomal RNA
Source: RNAcentral